RNAcentral lists this ribosomal RNA (460 nucleotides) under uncultured bacterium. RNAcentral's name for it is "partial 16S ribosomal RNA". It matches the Rfam family "Bacterial small subunit ribosomal RNA", at positions 338 to 795 of the family's 1533-position model. The record is from RNAcentral.
CCUACGGGUGGCUGCAGUGAGGAAUAUUGGUCAAUGGGCGUAAGCCUGAACCAGCCAAGUCGCGUGAGGGAUGAAGGUUCUAUGGAUCGUAAACCUCUUUUAUAAAGGAAUAAAGUGAGGCACGUGUGCCUUUUUGUAUGUACUUUAUGAAUAAGGAUCGGCUAACUCCGUGCCAGCAGCCGCGGUAAUACGGAGGAUCCGAGCGUUAUCCGGAUUUAUUGGGUUUAAAGGGAGCGUAGAUGGGUUGUUAAGUCAGUUGUGAAAGUUUGCGGCUCAACCGUAAAAUUGCAAUUGAUACUGGCAGCCUUGAGUACAGUUGAGGUAGGCGGAAUUCGUGGUGUAGCGGUGAAAUGCUUAGAUAUCACGAAGAACUCCGAUUGCGAAGGCAGCUUACUAAACUGCCACUGACAUUGAUGCUCGAAAGUGUGGGUAUCAAACAGGAUUAGAUACCCGAGUAGUC